CCUUUCCUCUUCUCCUCAGGGCUCCCACGGGCUGCAGACAGUCAUUAAAAGUGAAUGUUAGGACAACUAUCCCUGCCCUAGACAGGGAGCCCCAGGCCAGGCACUCUGUAUAAAUGACCUGAUUUAGGAUGCUCAGACUCAGAGAAUGAAGAAGAUACAGGCUUGACUCUCACUUCCAACAAGCAAUCACUCUGAACCAGACCUGACCAGCUCUAAAGACAAGCUACCCUCAACUCGUCCAGAAGGGAUCUGAAGCUGCCCUUCAAAGACUCAAACAAGCACUUGAUCUGCCAUCAAAGCAUGUACCUGGCCUUCCUCAGAACCAUCAGCAUUUUGUAUUGCUGGUUUCUCCAACUAAAAGCCCAUAGAGAGCUUUCAUUGUUGUUUGGUUUACCUGCCCGGAUCCUUACCUCCCUCUAGAUUCCAGUCCCUCUUCCAUGCCUUCUCUUUUGGCAGCUCCUGCCUGAAUCAGCUACGCCACGGAUUCACUGAGCUCCAUUUUUUCAGGCCUCAUGUGUCUUCGCUCAGUGUUUCUAACCAGCUCCUUCCUUUUCGCCUUGGGGAAGGAUGUUCCGACAAGGGAAGGAUCAUAUGAAAAGAGCCUCCCAGUCUUCAGUUGGUGUGUAAACAUUUUCCAAUGUAAAGACAGGAACAGAACCACUUAACUAUGAGGAUGCACAGAAACCAAUUAUGGAAAUCUAUGCUGCAGUAAGAGGCAUCGGUAAGAGAGACCGAUUCCACCAGACCAUCAACAUCAAGAAAACAGACACCUCAAACUAAGGUAACCAUGUAAACUGAAGCUACUGUGUAGUGUGGCAAGACAAUGUCAAGAUUCUGGAAAUAUCCAUGCUGACCAAGAGGAAGGUAAUUGAAAUAUGACAUGCUUCCAUGAUGAGAUUCUAUGCCUCUUUAAUCUAAUAAGGCAAAGCUGUAUGCGAGAGAGAAAAAUGCCAUGGACUUUAACAUACUACAGCCCCAAAGACUACAGAAAAAUAAAGCAGAUUACAAGGGAAGGAAGUCGACGAAGCAUGGUAACCCUGGAGGCUAGGCUGUCUAUGGAGUCAUUGUAUUGGCCUCUUACAUUUAUUUGUGUUCCUUGGAGAAAACCCUGGAAUUAACAUGGCAAUAUAAAUAAAAUCAUGUGAAUUUGAA
This 1152-nucleotide small RNA is filed under the name Rattus norvegicus (Norway rat). RNAcentral describes it as "uncharacterized LOC102552952". The record is from RNAcentral. Lineage: Eukaryota; Metazoa; Chordata; Mammalia; Rodentia; Muridae.